Molecule: ribosomal RNA, 674 nt
Filed under: Pluvianellus socialis (magellanic plover)
Lineage: Eukaryota; Metazoa; Chordata; Aves; Charadriiformes; Charadriidae
Description: 16S ribosomal RNA
Rfam family: Bacterial large subunit ribosomal RNA (bases 174-674)
Source: RNAcentral
AAGCCCACCCUAGCCCAACUAUACCUACAACUGAGUACCAAAUAACUAACUCCACCACUAAACCAAAGCAUUUUACCAACUUAGUAUAGGCGAUAGAAAAGACUAUUUGGCGCGAUAGAGAUUUUGUACCGUAAGGGAAAGAUGAAAUAACAAUGAAAAACCAAGCAAUAAAUAGCAAAGAUAAACCCUUGUACCUCUUGCAUCAUGAUUUAGCGAGAACAACCAAGCAAAGUGUACUUAAGCUUGCCCCCCCGAAACCCGAGCGAGCUACUUACAAGCAGCUAUACGUUGAGCGAACCCAUCUCUGUUGCAAAAGAGUGGGAUGACUUGUUAGUAGAGGUGAAAAGCCUACCGAGCCGGGUGAUAGCUGGUUGCCUGUGAAACGAAUCUAAGUUCCCUCUUGAUCUCCCUCUAAGGACCACCUCACCAACCCCACUGUAGUAGAUCAAGGGUAAUUUAAAGGAGGUACAGCUCCUUUAAAAGAGAAUACAAUCUCAUCUAGAGGAUAACUCAAAUCAACCUAACUAACUGUAGGCCUUCGAGCAGCCAUCAAUAAAGAGUGCGUCAAAGCUCCUUAUUAAUAAAAAUUCAAAAACGCUAUGACUCCCUUCCUAUUAACAGGCCAACCUAUCACAAUAGGUGAAUAAAUGCUAAAAUGAGUAACUAGGGGCUUA